UGAUCCUGUAACAGGAUGAAAGUGAAAAAUAAAGAAGGGUAUCCCAUCAACUCCUCCAAACGUGUAACACCAACUCUUAGGAUGUUUUGUUUAUGACAUAAGACUUUCUGAUUUAUGAAUUACUGUGUGUACCACAUAUUAUAUAUUAGUGAGGCUUAACAUCUUUCACAGAUUAAAAACUAAUAGAAUUUCGAAUAUGUUCUUCCUACAACCCACUGCAUCAUCUUGCCUGCUUGCUGAAACCACUUUUGAGACUAUCAGCAUAGGAGGUAAAACAUGCUCUUGAGUGUGUAAUGGGUUCCUUACCUCCCCUGCUAAACAAGUGAGAAAAAGAGAGCCAGCAUGGUGACGCCCAUCUUGAGUUCCCAAGAGGCUGCAGCUGGAGGGUGGCUUGAGCCCAUGAGUUCUGGGCCUUAGUGUGCGAUGGCAAUGGGGUGCCGGGGACCACCAGAUUGCUCAAGAAGGGUGAAUCAGCCCAGGUCAGAAAUGAAGUAGGUCAACAACGACGACAAAAA
Molecule: long non-coding RNA, 515 nt
Organism: Mandrillus leucophaeus (drill)
Lineage: Eukaryota; Metazoa; Chordata; Mammalia; Primates; Cercopithecidae
Exons: 2
Source: RefSeq, a predicted model, not a curated record